This 593-nucleotide ribosomal RNA is filed under the name Pseudomonas sp. MYb75. RNAcentral describes it as "bacterial SSU rRNA". It matches the Rfam family "Bacterial small subunit ribosomal RNA", at positions 64 to 652 of the family's 1533-position model. Lineage: Bacteria; Pseudomonadati; Pseudomonadota; Gammaproteobacteria; Pseudomonadales; Pseudomonadaceae. The record is from RNAcentral.
GAGCGGUAGAGAGAAGCUUGCUUCUCUUGAGAGCGGCGGACGGGUGAGUAAUGCCUAGGAAUCUGCCUGGUAGUGGGGGAUAACGUUCGGAAACGGACGCUAAUACCGCAUACGUCCUACGGGAGAAAGCAGGGGACCUUCGGGCCUUGCGCUAUCAGAUGAGCCUAGGUCGGAUUAGCUAGUUGGUGGGGUAAUGGCUCACCAAGGCGACGAUCCGUAACUGGUCUGAGAGGAUGAUCAGUCACACUGGAACUGAGACACGGUCCAGACUCCUACGGGAGGCAGCAGUGGGGAAUAUUGGACAAUGGGCGAAAGCCUGAUCCAGCCAUGCCGCGUGUGUGAAGAAGGUCUUCGGAUUGUAAAGCACUUUAAGUUGGGAGGAAGGGCAGUUACCUAAUACGUGAUUGUUUUGACGUUACCGACAGAAUAAGCACCGGCUAACUCUGUGCCAGCAGCCGCGGUAAUACAGAGGGUGCAAGCGUUAAUCGGAAUUACUGGGCGUAAAGCGCGCGUAAGUGGUUUGUUAAGUUGGAUGUGAAAUCCCCGGGCUCAACCUGGGAACUGCAUUCCAAACUGACUGAAUACAGUAUGGU